RNAcentral lists this long non-coding RNA (1204 nucleotides) under Homo sapiens (human). RNAcentral's name for it is "non-protein coding lnc-ZCWPW2-3:2". The record is from RNAcentral. Lineage: Eukaryota; Metazoa; Chordata; Mammalia; Primates; Hominidae.
AUGGAGGGUGUGGUGGGUCCAAGUGGAGCUGUUGGCCAUGUGCCUACUUGCUGCGUACCUGCAGAUCCCACUCCCUCAGGUCUCCCUGGCCCUUCACUCUUGGAAGUCUUCAGGCAAAUUUUUCACUUACGAGGGACUGCAUAUAUUCUACCAAGACUCUGUGGGUGUGGUUGGAAGUCUGGAGAUAGCUGUGCUUUUACACAGCCUUCCAACAUCCAGCUAUGAUUGGUACAAGAUUUGGGAAGGUCUGACCUUGAGGUUUCAUCAAGUUCUUGUGCUUGAUUUCUUAGGCUUUGGCUUCAGUGACAAUCCACAACCACAUCACUAUUCCAUAUUUGAGCAGGCCAGCAUUAUGGAAGUGCUUUUGUGGCAUCUGGGGCUCCAGAACCACAGGACCAACCUUUUGUCUCAUGACUAUGGAGAUAUUGUUGCUCAGGAGCUCCUCUACCAGUACAAGCAGAAUCAAUCUGGUAGGCUUACCAUAAAGAGUAUCCAUCUGUCAAAUGGAGGUAUCUUUCCUGAGACUCACCGUCCACUCCUUCUCCAAAAGAUACUCAAAGAUGGAGGUGUGCUGUCACCCAUCCUCACGUGGCUGAUGAACUUCUUUGUAUUCUCGAUGUCUCACCCCAGUCUUUGGGCCAUGUACUUGGCCCUCUGAGAGUGAGCUGUGGGAUGGUACAUGUGGGCAGUCCCAUCCCACAGCUGCAACAAUGAUGGGAACUUAGUCAUUGUCAAUCUCUUACAGUACAUCAUCAAUCAGAGAAGUUUAGAAGACACCGAGUGGGAGCUCUUGCCUCUGAAACUAACCCCAUUGAUUUUAUCUAUGAGCCACUGGAUCCUGUAAAUCCCUAUCCAGAGUUUUUCGAGCUGUACAGGAAAAUGCUGUCACGGUCCAUGAUGUCAAUUCUGGAUGACCACAUUAGCCACGAUCCACAGCUAGAGGAUCCCAUGGGCUUCCUGAAUGCAUACCUGGGCUUCAUCAAGUCCUUUUGAGUUGGAAAGAGUAGAUUCACUGUAUUACCUCCCCUACCCCCUUAUCCAUUGCGUAUUCCACUUAAGAAGAAAUGCCCAAAAGAGGUCCUGGCCAUCAAACACUGUUCUCUCACAAAGUCCACUUUACUCAAAUUGGUGAACAGUAUAUAGGAAGAAGCCAGCAGGAGCUCUGGCUAAGGUUGACAUAAUAGUCCACCUCCCAUUACUUUGA